GAUGAAGAACGUAUCGAAAUGCGAUAAGUAGUGUGAAUUGCAGAAUUCCGUGAAUCAUCGAAUCUUUGAACGCACAUUGCGCCUCCUGGUAGUCCGGGAGGCAUGCCUGUUCGAGCGUCACCAAAUCCAACUCAAGCGGUUUUGCGCUUGGUCGUGGCGGAAGAGUCGGUCUGGUUGCCGUCUCCCCUCCGAAAAUCAACGGCGGAAAGUCACUGGCAGUCAGCGUAGUAGUAUCGUUCGCCGAACAUCCAGUGGCAUUCCUGCCGACGUACCCCCACAAUUCUCGUGAUUGACCUCGGAUCAGGUAGGGAUACCCGCUGAACUUAAGCAUAUCAAUAAGCGGAGGA
RNAcentral lists this unclassified non-coding RNA (347 nucleotides) under soil metagenome. RNAcentral's name for it is "partial contains 5.8S ribosomal RNA, internal transcribed spacer 2, and large subunit ribosomal RNA". The stretch from base 1 to 120 matches the Rfam family "5.8S ribosomal RNA", at positions 35 to 154 of the family's 154-position model. The record is from RNAcentral.